CCUACGGGUGGCAGCAGUGAGGAAUAUUGGUCAAUGGGCGAGAGCCUGAACCAGCCAAGUCGCGUGAGGGAGUACUGCCCUAUGGGUUGUAAACCUCUUUUGUCGGGGAGCAAAAGCCGGACGUGUCCGGCUGUGAGAGUACCCGAAGAAAAGGCAUCGGCUCCCUCCGUGCCAGCAGCCGCGGUAAUACGGAGGAUGCGAGCGUUAUCCGGAGUUAUUGGGUGUAAAGGGGGCGCAGGCGUGUUUUUAAGUCAGCGGGAAAAUAGUGGGGCUCAACCCCAUCCAGCCGUUGAAACUGGGGAUCUAGAGUGUGCGAGAGGUAGGCGGAAUGCGUGGUGUAGCGGUGAAAUGCAUAGAUAUCACGCAGAACCCCGAUUGCGAAGGCAGCAUACCGGUGCACAACUGACGCUCAGGCACGAAAGCGUGGGUAUCGAACAGGAUUAGAUACCCCUGUAGUC
This 458-nucleotide ribosomal RNA is filed under the name uncultured bacterium. RNAcentral's name for it is "partial 16S ribosomal RNA". It matches the Rfam family "Bacterial small subunit ribosomal RNA", at positions 338 to 795 of the family's 1533-position model. The record is from RNAcentral.